GAUGAACGCUGGCGGCGUGCCUAAUACAUGCAAGUCGAGCGAACAGACGAGGAGCUUGCUCCUCUGACGUUAGCGGCGGACGGGUGAGUAACACGUGGAUCACCUACCUAUAAGACUGGGAUAACUUCGGGAAACCGGAGCUAAUUCCGGUUUAUAUAUUGAACCGCAUGGUUCAAUAGUGAAAGACGGUUUUGCUGUAACUUAUAGAUGGAUCCGCGCUGCAUUAGCUAGUUGGUAAGGUAACGGAUUACCAAGGCGACGAUGCGUAGCCGAGCGGUGAGGAUGGUGAGCUACACUGGAACUGAGACACGGUCCAGACUACAACGGUAGGCAGCAGAGGGGUAUCGUCCGCUAGGGGCGAAAGCCUGGCGGGGCAACGCCGCGUGAGUUAUGAAGGUCUGGUGAUCUGAAAACUCUGCUAUUAGUGAAAAGCAAAUGUGUAAGUAACUAUGCACGUCAUGACGGUACCUAAUCAGAAAGCCACGGCUAACUACGUG
Molecule: ribosomal RNA, 497 nt
Filed under: uncultured bacterium
Lineage: Bacteria
Description: partial 16S ribosomal RNA
Rfam family: Bacterial small subunit ribosomal RNA
Source: RNAcentral